RNAcentral lists this unclassified non-coding RNA (301 nucleotides) under fungal sp. RNAcentral's name for it is "partial internal transcribed spacer region". The stretch from base 1 to 46 matches the Rfam family "Eukaryotic small subunit ribosomal RNA", at positions 1786 to 1831 of the family's 1831-position model. Lineage: Eukaryota; Fungi. The record is from RNAcentral.
AAGUCGUAACAAGGUUUCCGUAGGUGAACCUGCGGAAGGAUCAUUACCAAAUCCAAAUCCUUCAACCCCUUGUGAACUAUGAUUUUAUUUAUUGUUUGUCUUUGGGGAGAGUGUUAAAAUCUUGCUUCGAAAAUCCUUUCUUCGAAAGAUUUCAGAUUUAAGUUUUUAUGCUCCCCAAAAGAGUUUCCCCUCUUCUUGAGGUUGAACUCAAAUAUUUAAACUACUUAUCAUAAACUUUUUUUGGAAUGCUUUUAUUUUUACUAAUAAAAGACAACUUUUAACGGUGGAUCUCUUGGCUCGU